GCUGUAAGUAAGCUUUGAUCCAGAGAUUUCCGAAUGGGGAAACCCAGCAUGAGUUAUGUCAUGUUAUCGAUAUGUGAAUACAUAGCAUAUCAGAAGGCACACCCGGAGAACUGAAACAUCUUAGUACCCGGAGGAAGAGAAAGAAAAUUCGAUUCCCUUAGUAGCGGCGAGCGAAAUGGGAAGAGCCCAAACCAACAAGCUUGCUUGUUGGGGUUGUAGGACACUCUAUACGGAGUUACAAAGGACGACAUUAGACGAAUCAUCUGGAAAGAUGAAUCAAAGAAGGUAAUAAUCCUGUAGUCGAAAAUGUUGUCUCUCUUGAGUGGAUCCUGAGUACGACGGAGCACGUGAAAUUCCGUCGGAAUCUGGGAGGACCAUCUCCUAAGGCUAAAUACUCUCUAGUGACCGAUAGUGAACCAGUACCGUGAGGGAAAGGUGAAAAGCACCCCGGAAGGGGAGUGAAAUAGAACCUGAAACCGUGUGCUUACAAGUAGUCAGAGCCCGUUAAUGGGUGAUGGCGUGCCUUUUGUAGAAUGAACCGGCGAGUUACGAUUUGAUGCAAGGUUAAGCAGUAAAUGUGGAGCCGUAGCGAAAGCGAGUCUGAAUAGGGCGUUUAGUAUUUGGUCGUAGACCCGAAACCAGGUGAUCUACCCUUGGUCAGGUUGAAGUUCAGGUAACACUGAAUGGAGGACCGAACCGACUUACGUUGAAAAGUGAGCGGAUGAACUGAGGGUAGCGGAGAAAUUCCAAUCGAACCUGGAGAUAGCUGGUUCUCUCCGAAAUAGCUUUAGGGCUAGCCUCAAGUGAUGAUUAUUGGAGGUAGAGCACUGUUUGGACGAGGGGCCCCUCUCGGGUUACCGAAUUCAGACAAACUCCGAAUGCCAAUUAAUUUAACUUGGGAGUCAGAACAUGGGUGAUAAGGUCCGUGUUCGAAAGGGAAACAGCCCAGACCACCAGCUAAGGUCCCAAAAUAUAUGUUAAGUGGAAAAGGAUGUGGCGUUGCCCAGACAACUAGGAUGUUGGCUUAGAAGCAGCCAUCAUUUAAAGAGUGCGUAAUAGCUCACUAGUCGAGUGACACUGCGCCGAAAAUGUACCGGGGCUAAACAUAUUACCGAAGCUGUGGAUUGUCCUUUGGACAAUGGUAGGAGAGCGUUCUAAGGGCGUUGAAGCAUGAUCGUAAGGACAUGUGGAGCGCUUAGAAGUGAGAAUGCCGGUGUGAGUAGCGAAAGACGGGUGAGAAUCCCGUCCACCGAUUGACUAAGGUUUCCAGAGGAAGGCUCGUCCGCUCUGGGUUAGUCGGGUCCUAAGCUGAGGCCGACAGGCGUAGGCGAUGGAUAACAGGUUGAUAUUCCUGUACCACCUAUAAUCGUUUUA
RNAcentral lists this ribosomal RNA (1374 nucleotides) under Staphylococcus aureus. RNAcentral's name for it is "partial 23S ribosomal RNA". It matches the Rfam family "Bacterial large subunit ribosomal RNA", at positions 85 to 1461 of the family's 2925-position model. Lineage: Bacteria; Bacillati; Bacillota; Bacilli; Caryophanales; Staphylococcaceae. The record is from RNAcentral.